This 106-nucleotide small RNA is filed under the name Escherichia coli. RNAcentral describes it as "RtT sRNA". It matches the Rfam family "RtT RNA", at positions 18 to 118 of the family's 130-position model. Rfam says of the family: This family represents a bacterial cis-regulatory element known as RtT RNA. The exact function of RtT is unknown although it is thought that it may be involved in changing the cellular response in relation to amino acid starvation. RNAcentral also lists the same sequence under 1 other name. Lineage: Bacteria; Pseudomonadati; Pseudomonadota; Gammaproteobacteria; Enterobacterales; Enterobacteriaceae. The record is from RNAcentral.
GAGGAUGAGAACCUCCGGGGGCAGGGAGGUUCGACUCGAGCGAAGCGAGAGAACGUUGCGCCAGCAACGGCCCGCAGGGCGAGCCACGAAGUGGCGAGUAAUCCUC